Molecule: long non-coding RNA, 210 nt
Organism: Onychostoma macrolepis
Lineage: Eukaryota; Metazoa; Chordata; Actinopteri; Cypriniformes; Cyprinidae
Exons: 3
Source: RefSeq, a predicted model, not a curated record
UAAGUGUUUUAUCUCAUUUGUAUGUAUUUCACAACAUCAUAUUGAUUUAUAGCGAUAUUUGUGUGAUGUGCACUCCUAAACUUUUCCUCAGGAAAUUGGUUUUAUCAUGGAAAACACCGAACAUGCAUUUGAAUGGCUAUGCACUGACAAAGCCACUUUUAACAGGGGAAACAUAAGAAAGAGACAUUUUCUUUCACUGGCGAUGCGGAG